Molecule: ribosomal RNA, 435 nt
Filed under: uncultured bacterium
Lineage: Bacteria
Description: partial 16S ribosomal RNA
Rfam family: Bacterial small subunit ribosomal RNA
Source: RNAcentral
AGCGAACGCUGGCGGCAGGCCUAACACAUGCAAGUCGAGCGGGCACUUUCGGGUGUCAGCGGCGGACGGGUGAGUAACGCGUGGGAACGUGCCCUCUGGUUCGGAAUAACUCAGGGAAACUUGAGCUAAUACCGGAUACGCCCUUUUGGGGAAAGGCUUGCUGCCGGAGGAUCGGCCCGCGUCUGAUUAGCUAGUUGGGGAGGUAACGGCUCACCAAGGCGACGAACAGUAGCUGGUCUGUGAGGAUGAUCAGCCACACUGGGACUGAGACACGGCCCAGACUCCUACGGGAGGCAGCAGUGGGGAAUAUUGGACAGUGGGCGCAAGCCUGAUCCAGCCAUGCCGCGUGAGUGAUGAAGGCCUUAGGGUUGUAAAGCUCUUUUAUCCGGGACGAUAAUGACGGUACCGGAGGAAUAAGCCCCGGCUAACUUCGUG